CGCCGGCGCAUAGUUUUAUUUGCAAGUCGAGCGGUAGCAAGAGAGCUUGCUCUCGGGUGACGAGCGGCGGACGGGUGAGUAAUGUCUGGGAAACUGCCUGAUGGAGGGGGAUAACUACUGGAAACGGUAGCUAAUACCGCAUAAUGUCGCAAGACCAAAGUGGGGGACCUUCGGGCCUCAUGCCAUCAGAUGUGCCCAGAUGGGAUUAGCUAGUAGGUGGGGUAACGGCUCACCUAGGCGACGAUCCCUAGCUGGUCUGAGAGGAUGACCAGCCACACUGGAACUGAGACACGGUCCAGACUCCUACGGGAGGCAGCAGUGGGGAAUAUUGCACAAUGGGCGCAAGCCUGAUGCAGCCAUGCCGCGUGUGUGAAGAAGGCCUUCGGGUUGUAAAGCACUUUCAGCGGGGAGGAAGGCGUUAAGGUUAAUAACCUUGGCGAUUGACGUUACCCGCAGAAGAAGCACCGGCUAACUCCGUGCCAGCAGCCGCGGUAAUACGGAGGGUGCAAGCGUUAAUCGGAAUUACUGGGCGUAAAGCGCACGCAGGCGGUCUGUCAAGUCGGAUGUGAAAUCCCCGGGCUCAACCUGGGAACUGCAUUCGAAACUGGCAGGCUAGAGUCUUGUAGAGGGGGGUAGAAUUCCAGGUGUAGCGCAGAAAUGCGUAGAGAUCU
Molecule: ribosomal RNA, 671 nt
Filed under: bacterium SRC_DS3a
Lineage: Bacteria
Description: bacterial SSU rRNA
Rfam family: Bacterial small subunit ribosomal RNA
Source: RNAcentral